AUGCAUACCAUCACCACUGCCGAGCUCCUGCUCAUAUGCAUCCUAGCUGCCGCCAAUUUGCUAUGGUCAGUCGAUGGUUCUGCCAGUUCAAGCUGCAUACCGCGGGAGCAGGAUGCCCUGCUGUCCUUCAAGCGCGGCAUCAACAGCGACCCCAUGGGUGUCGUUGACUCUUGGCACAAGGAAGACUGCUGUCAGUGGAGCGGCGUCAAGUGCAGCAACCGGACUGGCCAUGUUCUUAGGCUUCAUCUUCGUCGUCUGGAUGUGUACACACUCAAUGGGUACUACCAAGACGACACAGCUUUGGUUGGCCAGAUAAGUAAUUCUUUACUCUCCAUGGAUCGUCUAGUGCACCUUGAUCUUAGCAUGAAUUGCCUCGAGGGCCCAAGCGGCCACUGUUACAGCGCUGCUAGAAGGAGAGCGCGAGAGGGCCGGUCGGGGGCCUUUUUGCCCACGGCCGGGCAGGAGGGAAGGGAUUUCUUUCUUAAUUCUUGCUUGAUUAAAUUGAUACAUCUCAUCUCUUUAUAUAUAAGCGUUGUUUGGAUAGCGGAGAUUAGCAAUAGGAUUAUAGAAAAUGGGUUUUUAGCCGAUUUCUAG
Molecule: ribosomal RNA, 594 nt
Filed under: Triticum aestivum (bread wheat)
Lineage: Eukaryota; Viridiplantae; Streptophyta; Magnoliopsida; Poales; Poaceae
Description: partial small subunit ribosomal RNA
Source: RNAcentral